RNAcentral lists this ribosomal RNA (784 nucleotides) under Venturia ditricha. RNAcentral's name for it is "partial large subunit ribosomal RNA". It matches the Rfam family "Eukaryotic large subunit ribosomal RNA", at positions 101 to 908 of the family's 3401-position model. The record is from RNAcentral. RNAcentral also lists the same sequence under 1 other name. Lineage: Eukaryota; Fungi; Ascomycota; Dothideomycetes; Venturiales; Venturiaceae.
GCAACAGCUCAAAUUUGAAAUCUGGCGCAAGCCCGAGUUGUAAUUUGCAGAGGAUGUUUCGGGUGAAGCCACGGUCCAAGUCCCUUGGAACAGGACGUCAUAGAGGGUGAGAACCCCGUACCUGGCCGUCGGUGCCCCCCGCUGUGAAACUCCUUCGACGAGUCGAGUUGUUUGGGAAUGCAGCUCUAAAUUGGUGGUAAAUUCCAUCUAAAGCUAAAUACCGGCCAGAGACCGAUAGCGCACAAGUAGAGUGAUCGAAAGAUGAAAAGCACUUUGAAAAGAGAGUUAAAAAGUACGUGAAAUUGUUGAAAGGGAAGCGCUUGCGGCCAGACUUGCCCGCGGUUGCUCAGCCCGCCUUUUGGCGGGUGCACUCUUCCGCGGUCAGGCCAGCAUCGGUUUGGGCGGUCGGAUAAAGGCGUUGGGAACGUGGCCUCCCCUCGGGGAGGUGUUAUAGCCCGGCGCGCAAUGCGACCAGCCCGGACCGAGGUUCGCGCUUUGCUAGGAUGCUGGCGUAAUGGCCGUAAGCGGCCCGUCUUGAAACACGGACCAAGGAGUCUAACAUCUAUGCGAGUGUUUGGGUGUCAAACCCGUGCGCGUAAUGAAAGUGAACGGAGGUGGGAACCGCAAGGUGCACCAUCGACCGAUCCUGAUGUCUUCGGAAGGAUUUGAGUAAGAGCAUAGCUGUUGGGACCCGAAAGAUGGUGAACUAUGCGUGAAUAGGGUGAAGCCAGAGGAAACUCUGGUGGAGGCUCGCAGCGGUUCUGACGUGCAAAUCGAUCGUCAA